GACGAACGCUGGCGGCGUGCCUAAUACAUGCAAGUUGAACGAGAGCGACCGGUGCUUGCACUGGUCAAUCUAGUGGCGAACGGGUGAGUAACACGUGGGUAACCUGCUCAUCAGAGGGGGAUAACAUCCGGAAACGGAUGCUAAAACCGCAUAGGUCUUCGAGCCGCAUGGCUUGAAGAGGAAAAGAGGCGCAAGCUUCUGCUGAUGGAUGGACCCGCGGUGCAUUAGCUAGUUGGUGAGGUAACGGCUCACCAAGGCCGUGAUGCAUAGCCGACCUGAGAGGGUGAUCGGCCACAGUGGGACUGAGACACGGCCCAAACUCCUACGGGAGGCAGCAGUAGGGAAUCUUCCGCAAUGGACGCAAGUCUGACGGAGCAACGCCGCGUGAGUGAAGAAGGUUUUCGGAUCGUAAAACUCUGUUGUUAGAGAAGAACAAGUGCUAGAGUAACUGUUAGCGCCUUGACGGUAUCUAACCAGAAAGCCACGGCUAACUACGUG
This 498-nucleotide ribosomal RNA is filed under the name uncultured bacterium. RNAcentral's name for it is "partial 16S ribosomal RNA". It matches the Rfam family "Bacterial small subunit ribosomal RNA", at positions 28 to 507 of the family's 1533-position model. The record is from RNAcentral.